This 422-nucleotide ribosomal RNA is filed under the name uncultured bacterium. RNAcentral describes it as "bacterial SSU rRNA". It matches the Rfam family "Bacterial small subunit ribosomal RNA", at positions 355 to 774 of the family's 1533-position model. The record is from RNAcentral.
UAAGGAAUAUUGGACAAUGGACGCAAGUCUGAUCCAGCCAUGCCGCGUGAAGGAUGAAUGCCCUCUGGGUUGUAAACUUCUUUUAUAGGGGAAGAAAGAUACUUUUUUUAAGGUAGUUGACGGUACCCUAUGAAUAAGCACCGGCUAACUCCGUGCCAGCAGCCGCGGUAAUACGGAGGGUGCAAGCGUUAUCCGGAUUUACUGGGUUUAAAGGGUGCGUAGGCGGGCAUGUAAGUCAGUGGUGAAAUACCGGAGCUUAACUUCGGAAUUGCCAUUGAUACUAUAUGUCUUGAAUAUUGUGGAGGUAAGCGGAAUAUGUCAUGUAGCGGUGAAAUGCAUAGAUAUGACAUAGAACACCGAUUGCGGAGGCAGCUUGCUACGCAAAUAUUGACGCUGAGGCACGAAAGCGUGGGGAUCAAACA